RNAcentral lists this ribosomal RNA (277 nucleotides) under uncultured bacterium. Its description in RNAcentral is "partial 16S ribosomal RNA". It matches the Rfam family "Bacterial small subunit ribosomal RNA", at positions 1215 to 1500 of the family's 1533-position model. The record is from RNAcentral.
UACACACGUGUUACAAUGGGGGGUACAGAGGGCCGCUACCACGCGAGUGGAUGCCAAUCCCUAAAACCCCUCUCAGUUCGGACUGGAGUCUGCAACCCGACUCCACGAAGCUGGAUUCGCUAGUAAUCGCGCAUCAGCCACGGCGCGGUGAAUACGUUCCCGGGCCUUGUACACACCGCCCGUCAAGCCAUGGGAGCCGGGGGUACCUGAAGUGCGUAACCGCGAGGAUCGCCCUAGGGUAAAACUGGUGACUGGGGCUAAGUCGUAACAAGGUAAC